Long non-coding RNA from Astatotilapia calliptera (eastern happy), 1040 nucleotides. NCBI's taxonomy places the organism in Eukaryota, Metazoa, Chordata, Actinopteri, Cichliformes, Cichlidae. The record is from Ensembl.
GUGACAAAAAUCAAAACAUCUACUGUCUUAUAAAAUUUGAAAGUUUAAAAGUUGAUUUUUAUUAUACUUCAUUUUAUGUGCAGGAACUGUGAAUAUACAAGUGAACUUACAGUGUGCAUCACACAUUGCCCCUGUGCAACUCACCUGAAACUAAUCGGUGGAAAUCAUCAGAAGGCAUUUCUGACCACUUCCUCAUCACACCACUGUUCCACACUAUAACUGAACUCGCCUUUCGGAUACUGGUCACAGCUCUCACUGGAUUCACGCUCCAAUCUCCAGGAAGGAAAUCCUCACCACGCUCACCAACAUCCCCUCCUGCCACCAUAGUUCACAGGGAGCCCUAAUAUUUAGGUCCGCUCAUCUACUCUGCACCCCACUCGCCACUCGGACCUUUGCCUCCCCCUCCAAGCCUAAUUCUCCACCUGCAAAGCAAGCCACGCAGAAACCUCAUUACAGCUAUUUUCCCUGGACAAAUCCAUGAACUAAUCCCCUUUUCCUCUCUCCUCAGUGUGACCUCUAGAUUACCACGCCACCAGCGACACCCUGAGCUCCACAUUCUUAGGCCACCAUGCUAGGUUACCUUACCAUGAAUCCCUUGUGAAGUAUAGCUCUGUGUUUUCUUGUAUCAAAUGAAGUUUUGUGUCAAUUUAACUCUGCCAUGUCCGCACUUGGUUCAGCACUAAAAGUUUCAGACUAGUUUCAGUAAUUGUGCAAAUGUACUGUUUAAAAGGUUGGGAAACCUGCAGUCAGAGGAGACUGAGACUAUGACCCCCACUAUGACCCUCCCCCCCGCCUAAUCCAAUGCUCCAGAUGGAAAAUCCCCAGACACUCACUUGGCUCAUGACAAACCUAGUUGCUAUUUGUUCUAACAAAUGAGAAAACUAUGCAAUAGUGAUCAGAGAUACAAUCUACAACAUUUGCAAUGGUGACAUUGAGACUUCUGGAAAAUAAAAAUAUCAAAUGUAUGAUAUUUUGUAUGUAUGGGUCCAUUCACAUUGUUGUUUAAAAUCACAUGAUGAACUGUUUCACGUCAGAGUUGC